AGAGGUAAGAGGUACUACAGGGGUAGGAGUGAAAUCUUGUAAUCCCUGUGGGACCACCUGUGGCGAAGGCGUCUUACCAGAACGGGUUCGACGGUGAGGGACGAAAGCUGGGGGCACGAACCGGAUUAGAUACCCGGGUAGUCCCAGCCGUAAACGAUGCUCGCUAGGUGUCAGGCAUGGGCGCGACCGUGUCUGGUGCCGCAGGGAAGCCGUGAAGCGAGCCACCUGGGAAGUACGGCCGCAAGGCUGAAACUUAAAGGAAUUGGCGGGGGAGCACAACAACGGGUGGAGCCCUGCGGUUUAAUUGGACUCAACGCCGGACAACUCACCGGGGGCGACAGCAAUAUGUAGGCCAAGCUGAAGACUUUGCCUGAAUCGCUGAGUAGAGGUGCAUGG
RNAcentral lists this ribosomal RNA (396 nucleotides) under uncultured archaeon. RNAcentral describes it as "bacterial SSU rRNA". It matches the Rfam family "Archaeal small subunit ribosomal RNA", at positions 604 to 997 of the family's 1478-position model. The record is from RNAcentral.